Molecule: long non-coding RNA, 1132 nt
Filed under: Oreochromis niloticus (Nile tilapia)
Lineage: Eukaryota; Metazoa; Chordata; Actinopteri; Cichliformes; Cichlidae
Description: lncRNA (ENSONIG00000037684.1)
Source: RNAcentral
UUUGACCAACUGUGAGCAUGUGACUGUACUUUUUCAUUUUGUUAUGCUGUUCUGUUGAGGUCGUGUUCCUAAGGCCUGUCGUUACAGUUGGUGCUAUUAGCAAUAAACAUUUCACACCCAUCAUGAUGAUGUCUGUUAACUUGUGAACAUAACUGUCUUGAAAAAAAGGAAUCUUGCAGUGAAGCUCAUUCCCGGGCAGUGGUCAGAAAAAAAGCUUGACUUGAAGGUAUGUGCUAGUUUAAGUGUAUGGUGAAUAAUAUGAAUUACACUAGUCUUCUUUAAGGAUUUAUUAACGAGCCUUUAUUUCAAUGGUAAUACAGGGUUUUCCAAGCCAAGACUAUGGAGUUGACUGUGGGAUCUUCAUGCUGAUGUCUGCUCUGUACGUGGCACUGGAUGCACCAUUUGACUAUACUAUACUCUGGCAAGCUAUUGCACACUGGAGAGAGGAAGCCAAAGCUGUGCUUGAAGGACAACACGUGCCCAUUUCAGACUGAAAAGCGCAAGUUCCAGGAAGUCAGUCAGGUCAGUAUUCACUAAACAGUAGUGUAAUAAAUGGUUAGUGACAUUUGAAUAACUGUUAAAAAACUGUUCCGCAACAGAGAAAUAGCUAUGUUUUUAUCCCCAUUUGCCUGACACAGGAGCAGCAAUUGUUGAAGAUCUGCGUCCUGCUGUGCAGUGGGUUGUCCAAAAUAAGGCACUUUUCCGUGGACACGUAACAAUGCCAAAAUAUCUGUCCUUAAAUCAAGGGGACCAGCAGAGGGUCUUAAGAGACAUGUCAGAGGAAGAAGACACUGGAGCAAGGGACUUGUUCCUCUUUGUUUUCAGUUUGCAGAGGACAUGGAGCUCUUUUGAAAGCAUGUGCUGAUGAGCAGGGAUAAGGGUCAGUGCUAUGUCUGACAUGUAAUGGACAAAUGAAGGCACUGGCUGUGUUUGUUUGUUUGUUUAAUAUGUCGUUGCUGUUUUUUGUUUUGUUUUUGCAUAGUACAAAAUUCCAAUUAAACUUAUUUCAAAAUGUUGUUCACUUGAUUCCAUGUCCAUACUUAUAAUAAAGGAUUACAGUGUAACAGCAUUAAAUGUAAAUGUAACAGCAUUUUUUUAUACUUGUAAUUUCAAAAUAAAAAGCUUAUUGUUG